UAGCAUUCAUUCACAUAUUAUAGCACCAAUAACAGGGGAGGUUAGCAUUCAUUCACAUAUUAUAGUAACCAAUAACAGGGGAGGUUAGCAUUCAUUCACAUAUUAUAGUACCAAUAACAGGAGAGGUUAGCAUUCAUUCACAUAUUAUAGC
Molecule: long non-coding RNA, 151 nt
Organism: Oncorhynchus keta (chum salmon)
Lineage: Eukaryota; Metazoa; Chordata; Actinopteri; Salmoniformes; Salmonidae
Exons: 3
Source: RefSeq, a predicted model, not a curated record